GACGAACGCUGGCGGCGUGCUUAACACAUGCAAGUCGAACGGAAAGGCCCUGCUUUUGUGGGGUGCUCGAGUGGCGAACGGGUGAGUAACACGGGAGUAACCUGCCCUUGACUUUGGGAUAACUUCAGGAAACUGGGGCUAAUACCGGAUAGGAGCUCCUGCUGCAUGGUGGGGGUUGGAAAGUUUCGGCGGUUGGGGAUGGACUCGCGGCUUAUCAGCUUGUUGGUGGGGUAGUGGCUUACCAAGGCUUUGACGGGUAGCCGGCCUGAGAGGGUGACCGGCCACAUUGGGACUGAGAUACGGCCCAGACUCCUACGGGCGGCAGCAGUGGGGAAUAUUGCACAAUGGGCGGAAGCCUGAUGCAGCAACGCCGCGUGCGGGAUGACGGCCUUCGGGUUGUAAACCGCUUUCGCCUGUGACGAAGCGUGAGUGACGGUAAUGGGUAAAGAAGCACCGGCUAACUACGUG
RNAcentral lists this ribosomal RNA (468 nucleotides) under uncultured bacterium. Its description in RNAcentral is "partial 16S ribosomal RNA". It matches the Rfam family "Bacterial small subunit ribosomal RNA", at positions 28 to 507 of the family's 1533-position model. The record is from RNAcentral.